This 510-nucleotide ribosomal RNA is filed under the name uncultured bacterium. RNAcentral's name for it is "partial 16S ribosomal RNA". The record is from RNAcentral.
GGAGUUAGCCGGUGCUUCUUCUGCGAGUAACGUCACAGAUGUAAGGUAUUAACUUACACCCUUUCCUCCUCGCUGAAAGUGCUUUACAACCCGAAGGCCUUCUUCACACACGCGGCAUGGCUGCAUCAGGGUUUCCCCCAUUGUGCAAUAUUCCCCACUGCUGCCUCCCGUAGGAGUCUGGGCCGUGUCUCAGUCCCAGUGUGGCUGAUCAUCCUCUCAGACCAGCUAGGGAUCGUCGACUAGGUGAGCCUUUACCUCACCUACUAGCUAAUCCCACCUGGGCUUAUCCAUCAGCGCAAGGCCCGAAGGUCCCCUGCUUUCCCCCGUAGGGCGUAUGCGGUAUUAGCAGUCGUUUCCAACUGUUAUCCCCCACAAAUGGGCAAAUUCCCAGGCAUUACUCACCCGUCCGCCGCUCGUCAUCUUCAAAGCAAGCUUUUGAAAUGUUACCGCUCGACUUGCAUGUGUUAGGCCUGCCGCCAGCGUUCAAUCUGAGCCAGAAUCAAACUCUGA